RNAcentral lists this transfer RNA (71 nucleotides) under Bacteriophage sp. RNAcentral's name for it is "tRNA-Ile". It matches the Rfam family "tRNA". Rfam says of the family: Transfer RNA (tRNA) molecules are approximately 80 nucleotides in length. Their secondary structure includes four short double-helical elements and three loops (D, anti-codon, and T loops). The record is from RNAcentral.
CGGCAUGUAGCUCAGUGGUAGAGCGACUGGCUGAUAUCCAGUGUGUCGCAGGUUCGAUUCCGCCUUGGCUA